Molecule: ribosomal RNA, 292 nt
Filed under: uncultured bacterium
Lineage: Bacteria
Description: partial 16S ribosomal RNA
Rfam family: Bacterial small subunit ribosomal RNA
Source: RNAcentral
GUGUCAGCCGCCGCGGUAAGACAGAGGUGGCAAGCGUUGUUCGGAAUUACUGGGCUUAAAGGGCGCGUAGGUGGUGGCAUAAGUCCGAGGUGGAAGACUAAGGCUUAACCUUAGAAUUGCCUUGGAAACUGUAUCACUUGAGUCAGCGAGGGGAUGGCGGAAUUCCAGGUGUAGCGGUGAAAUGCGUAGAUAUCUGGAGGAAGGCCGGUGGCGAAGGCGGCCAUCUGGCGCUGAACUGACACUGAGGCGCGAAAGCGUGGGGAGCAAACAGGAUUAGAAACCCCCGUAGUCC